GGCCCGAUGCCACGUCUCCGGUAGCUGCAGCCUUGACCGGCGAUGCUACAUUGUGCCGAGAGAGAGUUCUUGGACUUUUCACAUUUGAUAGGAACCUGUGGCUGCAAAUCAGUUGGUACACAGAGCCGUUUUUUGUGAUUACAUUU
This is a non-coding RNA of Triticum aestivum (bread wheat), 146 nucleotides long. The record is from Rfam. NCBI's taxonomy places the organism in Eukaryota, Viridiplantae, Streptophyta, Magnoliopsida, Poales, Poaceae.